Molecule: ribosomal RNA, 997 nt
Filed under: Rathayibacter tritici
Lineage: Bacteria; Bacillati; Actinomycetota; Actinomycetes; Micrococcales; Microbacteriaceae
Description: bacterial SSU rRNA
Rfam family: Bacterial small subunit ribosomal RNA
Source: RNAcentral
UGCCAAGUCGAACGAUGAAGCCCAGCUUGCUGGGAUGGAUUAGUGGCGAACGGGUGAGUAACACGUGAGUAACCUGCCCUUGACUCUGGGAUAAGCGCUGGAAACGGCGUCUAAUACCGGAUACGACCUGCCCCGGCAUCGGGUGUGGGUGGAAAGUUUUUCGGUCAAGGAUGGACUCGCGGCCUAUCAGCUUGUUGGUGAGGUAAUGGCUCACCAAGGCGACGACGGGUAGCCGGCCUGAGAGGGUGACCGGCUACACUGGGACUGAGACACGGCCCAGACUACAUACGGGAGGCAGCAGUGGGGAAUAUUGCACAAUGGGCGCAAGCCUGAUGCAGCAACGCCGCGUGGGGGAUGACGGCCUUCGGGUUGUAAACCUCUUUUAGUAGGGAAGAAGGGCUUCGGCUUGACGGUACCUGCAGAAAAAGCACCGGCUAACUACGUGCCAGCAGCCGCGGUAAUACGUAGGGUGCAAGCGUUGUCCGGAAUUAUUGGGCGUAAAGAGCUCGUAGGCGGUUUGUCGCGUCUGCUGUGAAAACCCGAGGCUCAACCUCGGGCCUGCAGUGGGUACGGGCAGACUAGAGUGCGGUAGGGGAGAAUGGAAUUCCUGGUGUAGCGGUGGAAUGCGCAGAUAUCAGGAGGAACACCGAUGGCGAAGGCAGUUCUCUGGGCCGUAACUGACGCUGAGGAGCGAAAGCGUGGGGAGCGAACAGGAUUAGAUACCCUGGUAGUCCAACGCCGUAACGUUGGGCGCUAGAUGUGGGGACCUUUCCACGGUUCCGUGUCGCAGCUAACGCAUUAAGCGCCCCGCCUGGGAGUACGGCCGCAAGGCUAAAACUCAAGGAAUUGACGGGGCCGCACAAGCGGCGGAGCAUGCGGAUUAAUUCGAUGCAACGCGAAGAACCUUACCAAGGCUUGACAUAUACGGAAACUUCCAGAAAUGGUUGCCCCGCAAGGCGGUAUACAGUGGUGCAUGGUUGUCGUCAGCUCGUGUCGU